UACGGAGGAUCCAAGCGUUAUCCGGAAUCAUUGGGUUUAAAGGGUCCGUAGGCGGACCAUUAAGUCAGGGGUGAAAGUCUGCAGCUCAACUGUAGAAUUGCCUUUGAUACUGGUGGUCUUGAGUUAUAGUGAAGUGGCCGGAAUAUGUAGUGUAGCGGUGAAAUGCAUAGAUAUUACAUAGAAUACCAAUUGCGAAGGCAGAUUACUAAUAAUGUACUGACACUGAUGGACGAAAGCGUGGGGAGCGAACAGG
RNAcentral lists this ribosomal RNA (253 nucleotides) under uncultured bacterium. RNAcentral describes it as "partial 16S ribosomal RNA". It matches the Rfam family "Bacterial small subunit ribosomal RNA", at positions 524 to 776 of the family's 1533-position model. The record is from RNAcentral.